UCUUCUCCUUCUUCUUCUUCUUCUAAAGCCCGGAUUUUUAGCCAAAAAGAGAUUGACCCAGAUCAGCUUUGCAGCCAAGUAAGCUAACCGAUUAAGGAGUUUCAAUUCUUUUGAGUAUUUGUUUUUGAUUGGUUUGGGGAUGACCGAGUUUAGGAUUUGAGUUGACUUGUGUGUCCUAGAGGGUAUCCAACUGGUGAAUUGUUGGCGUUUUUUGUUUGAAUUGAUUUGGAGUAGACCCAUUUCUGGACUAUACGAGGUUUUGUGAUUUUUUGGCGACUCGUUGGAGUUUAGAAUUUCUACUCUGCCUGUGGGUAAAUGUGCUACUUUGUGUGCUUUUCUUUCUUCUUUUCCUCUCUUUCUUAGGCAUGAUUGGUUACAAGAAUAUGUUUCUGUCUCUGGAUAGACUCAACAGGUCAUGUUUGGUUUGCAGGGAAAUCCCAAUUUACAGCUAAAUCUUUUAUGGCGUUUCCCUUUUGCCUCAUAGUUUCCAAUUCCAUACUUCUUUGGCUUAUAUGUAUUUAGGGAUUGAAAGACCACUUCUCCUAAUUCUGUUUCUGUUUUUAAUUUAGCAGGGGUAAACGAUUCAGAAUUUUGGUUAAAUCUUUGUCUUCGUGAGGAGCAGGUUUAGGUGGCUAUCGAAUUCAGAUAGAAAAUUUCACUGAGAUUUGUGGAUAGUUUAGGUCGGAAGUUGGUGAUUCUCUAAAGAUGGCUGGGGUGCAAGAUCAGUUAGAGAUCAAGUUUCGAUUGACUGAUGGAUCUGAUAUUGGUCCCAAAACCUUUCCUGCUGCCACAAGUGUUGCAACCUUGAAGGAGAGUAUUCUCUCUCAAUGGCCUAAAGAGAAGGAGAAUAGUCCAAGGACAGUGAAAGAUCUCAAGUUAAUAAGUGCGGGAAAAAUACUGGAGAACAACAUAACUGUGGGGGAAUGCCGGAGCCCCCUGUGUGAUAUCCCUGGUGGCGUUACAACCAUGCAUGUAGUUGUUCAACCAUCUUCCUUGGAUAAAGAAAAGAAAUCAAUCAGCCAAUCAAAGCAGAACAAAUGUGUUUGUGUUAUAUUAUAACUACAGCUCCCUGAGCAAGGAUGACAUCAAGGUAAAGAGUUUGGAGCUGGUUUAGAUAACAAAGCUGGUGAAUUGCUUAUUGGUGAUAGGCAAUGGCAUUUUGCACACUUAUCAUAGGUCAUCUUUUUGUACCAUUCUUUGCCUUCAUCAUAUAGCCGUGUUUCAAUCCAUUUGGUAUACUGUGAUUAAUGUUAAGUUUGAAUUUGCCUCAGCUUGUAUGCAACUAGAUCUCAGAUUUAUAUGUUGAAAGUUACCGAUAGAUGAAUAUUUUCAUAUUUUUCAUUUCAAAUUCAUGUCAUGUUGUCUUGUAUCAUUCAUAGUUGCACAAUUCAACUGUACUUCAACUAAUGUCCAUGGUCAUUAUUUUACCAAGUUGAAAGUUGAAGCACUGAAAGCUACCAACUGAGUGGUGACAUGCAAUAAAAUUCUUGGCUUGUACUGGACAAAUAUAUUUAUAUGCAUUUGAAUAUUGAGGGAAAUUUAGUCCGAAGAGUCCUUACCUUUCAGAAAGGAUUUCAAG
RNAcentral lists this unclassified non-coding RNA (1579 nucleotides) under Hevea brasiliensis (rubber tree). The record is from RNAcentral. Lineage: Eukaryota; Viridiplantae; Streptophyta; Magnoliopsida; Malpighiales; Euphorbiaceae.